Molecule: non-coding RNA, 1182 nt
Organism: Camelina sativa (false flax)
Lineage: Eukaryota; Viridiplantae; Streptophyta; Magnoliopsida; Brassicales; Brassicaceae
Source: RefSeq, a predicted model, not a curated record
UCAAAGGUCCUCAUAAAUGACUUGUUCUGAUCAUUCUUUUUGCUUCUCUUGAACUUGUCGAUAUAUGACCAAUUUUGGAAGAGAGCUAGACCUCCAUUAUUGACAUUCUUCUUUGAUGUCUAUCUUUUGCAUGUUAGUUGCUACUUCACUAAAAACUUUGUCAUGAAAAAACUUAAUGGAAUAAAAGUCAUAAGAAGGGAAAAAGAGUGCAGCCAAGCGAAUCAUCAUAUUCCUCCAUCUGGAAAUAUCAUCUUGAAAAGAUACAUUUGAUUUCUGAAGAUGCAUUGAUGUGUCUAUGUUUAUAGAGUUUUAACUAUAGUUUUUACAUUAGUUUUGAGUCUUUUAUUGAGUCAAGUGUGAUUUUAGAGUCUUUCAGUCCUUUGUGAGUCUUUACAAGUUUUAAGUCGUCCUAGAAAGAGACUGCACGUUUUGAGACGAAAAUAUGCAUUUUGAGCUAAAAGACAUGUUGAAGCAUCAGAAGUUUGGCUUCAGAAGAAGGACUUUCCACCUUUAGAUCUUUCUCAAUUUUGGACACAAGCUUCAUGAAGAUGUUAUCUGAUAUUUCCAAGUAGUUUGAAGAAGAACCAACGGUGCAAUCGGAAGUUAUGGACAAUACAGUGAAGACAUAUCAAUCUGACGAGCACAAAUGAAGCCGGUGCAGGAUCAAGACACAAGAUUGACAGUAUUCACCUGGGAUCAACAGACCCCAUCCCCGACUGAAGUUUUCCUGCAAGUCUUUGUUUUACUGUUUCAUAGAAGAAUCAAGUAUUACGAUCUCCUAGUUUAACCCAAACAGUGAUGACUAAUGGCAUGUGACCUGAACCCUCAAAAGGCAAAAACUCUACUUGAGCUGAAUCAUAAAGUGAUAGCCAUUCAGUAUUAGACAAUGCGGGAUCUAGACAGCACCAAACAUCAUGGGUGUAUCUUUUUCCUGUCCAAGAAAAAACAUUCCCAACAGAUUUCAAAUCAUACAAGUUGCAGUUGGCGGUGUCCAUACAAUCGUCCAUACACAAUGCGAAUAAGGCCGAGUCUUCUUUGUAGGAAGCCUUAAGGCAAGGAAAGGCUUCCUAAAGCCCAUGAGAAGGAUCGAGAACAUCUCUUGUAGCCGUUGGAGGUGUAGAAGGAAGAAGGAGUCACAUGUGUGUGUUAUGCAAGUUGACCUCCUACAUGUCGCUGUCACAC